RNAcentral lists this ribosomal RNA (1399 nucleotides) under metagenome. Its description in RNAcentral is "bacterial SSU rRNA". It matches the Rfam family "Bacterial small subunit ribosomal RNA". The record is from RNAcentral.
GGGUGAGUAAAGUAUCGGAACGUACCUUUCAGUGGGGGAUAACGUAGCGAAAGUUACGCUAAUACCGCAUAUUCUGUGAGCAGGAAAGCAGGGGAUCGCAAGACCUUGCGCUGAUUGAGCGGCCGAUAUCAGAUUAGCUAGUUGGUGAGGUAAAGGCUCACCCAGGCGACGAUCUGUAGCGGGUCUGAGAGGAUGAUCCGCCACACUGGAACUGAGACACGGUCCAGACUCCUACGGGAGGCAGCAGUGGGGAAUUUUGGACAAUGGGGGCAACCCUGAUCCAGCCAUGCCGCGUGAGUGAAGAAGGCCUUCGGGUUGUAAAGCUCUUUCGGCCGGGAAGAAAUCGUAUGGGUUAAUACCCUGUGCGGAUGACGGUACCGGCAUAAGAAGCACCGGCUAACUACGUGCCAGCAGCCGCGGUAAUACGUAGGGUGCGAGCGUUAAUCGGAAUUACUGGGCGUAAAGCGUGCGCAGGCGGUUUUGUAAGACAGGCGUGAAAUCCCCGGGCUCAACCUGGGAACUGCGCUUGUGACUGCAAGGCUAGAGUAUGGCAGAGGGGGGUGGAAUUCCACGUGUAGCAGUGAAAUGCGUAGAGAUGUGGAGGAACACCAAUGGCGAAGGCAGCCCCCUGGGCCAAUACUGACGCUCAUGCACGAAAGCGUGGGUAGCAAACAGGAUUAGAUACCCUGGUAGUCCACGCCCUAAACGAUGUCAACUAGGUGUUGGGUGGGUAAAACCAUUUAGUACCGGAGCUAACGCGUGAAGUUGACCGCCUGGGGAGUACGGCCGCAAGGUUAAAACUCAAAGGAAUUGACGGGGACCCGCACAAGCGGUGGAUGAUGUGGAUUAAUUCGAUGCAACGCGAAAAACCUUACCUACCCUUGACAUGUCCAGGAGCCUGAAGAGAUUUGGGUGUGCCCGAAAGGGAACUGGAACACAGGUGCUGCAUGGCUGUCGUCAGCUCGUGUCGUGAGAUGUUGGGUUAAGUCCCGCAACGAGCGCAACCCUUGUCGUUAAUUGCCAUCAUUUAGUUGGGCACUUUAACGAGACUGCCGGUGACAAACCGGAGGAAGGUGGGGAUGACGUCAAGUCCUCAUGGCCCUUAUGGGUAGGGCUUCACACGUCAUACAAUGGUCGGUACAAAGGGUUGCCAACCCGCGAGGGGGAGCCAAUCCCAGAAAGCCGAUCGUAGUCCGGAUCGCAGGCUGCAACUCGCCUGCGUGAAGUCGGAAUCGCUAGUAAUCGUGGAUCAGCAUGUCACGGUGAAUACGUUCCCGGGUCUUGUACACACCGCCCGUCACACCAUGGGAGCGGGUUCCGCCAGAAGUAGGUAGCCUAACCGCAAGGGGGGCGCUUACCACGGCGGGGUUCGUGACUGGGGUGAAGUCGAAACAAGGUA